UCGCCUGUUUAUCAAAAACAUCGCCUCUUGUCAAAUAUAAGAGGUCCUGCCUGCCCAGUGAUAAAUUCAACGGCCGCGGUACCCUAACCGUGCAAAGGUAGCAUAAUCACUUGUUCUUUAAAUAAGGACUCGUAUCAACGGCAUCACGAGGGUUGCACUGUCUCCCCCCUCCAAUCAGUGAAACUGAUCUCCCCAUGAAAAAGUGGGGAUAAUACUAUAAGACGAGAAGACCCCAUGGAGCUUUAAACCCAAUAGCAACUUAGCGAACUAUAGCUACAAAAACAUGCUAGCGGUUUUAGGUUGGGGUGACCACGGAGCAUAAACUAACCUCCAUAACGAAAAGACUUAAAUCUUUACCCAAGAACCACCACUCUAAGAAUUAGAAAACUAACGGACUAUGACCCGAUAUCGAUCAAUGAACCAAGUUACCCUGGGGAUAACAGCGCAAUCUGCUUCGAGAGCCCAUAUCGACAAGUAGGCUUACGACCUCGAUGUUGGAUCAGGGUAUCCCAGUGGUGCAGCCGCUACUGA
Molecule: ribosomal RNA, 531 nt
Filed under: Raorchestes uthamani
Lineage: Eukaryota; Metazoa; Chordata; Amphibia; Anura; Rhacophoridae
Description: partial 16S ribosomal RNA
Rfam family: Bacterial large subunit ribosomal RNA
Source: RNAcentral